UCAUCACUCAUUCAUCAUGGCACAGUCUACUCUUCAAUUGCUUUCGCUUGUCGUCAUCUUCCUGAUUUCAAUGUCAGGGUUGAUGACGGUCGAAGCAGGUGAUUUCACCCACAGUCCUCCCUUUUGUUGUGUAAUAGACAACCCAUCUGGGAAAUGCCUGCAGAUGUGCAAAGGAUAAAAGUGGAAUUACACACAUCCAUGAGUUCCAGGAACAAUCCAUGGCAUCUGAAUAUUCAUUUUAAAAUACAAAAUCAUAUAAAUUCCAUGAAACUAUUUUUAUAAUUUGAACAUUUGACGUGAAAUAAAUAAGCAAUUAUAUGGAAUAGUCAAAAAUAAAAUUUUAAAUGCGUAAGUAUAUUGUUUUAAAAUAUAUUGGUUUCAUGGAAUUAAAAUAA
Molecule: long non-coding RNA, 395 nt
Organism: Macrosteles quadrilineatus (aster leafhopper)
Lineage: Eukaryota; Metazoa; Arthropoda; Insecta; Hemiptera; Cicadellidae
Exons: 4
Source: RefSeq, a predicted model, not a curated record